This 87-nucleotide transfer RNA is filed under the name Pirellulales bacterium. RNAcentral describes it as "tRNA-Ser". It matches the Rfam family "tRNA". From Rfam's summary of the family: Transfer RNA (tRNA) molecules are approximately 80 nucleotides in length. Their secondary structure includes four short double-helical elements and three loops (D, anti-codon, and T loops). The record is from RNAcentral. Lineage: Bacteria; Pseudomonadati; Planctomycetota; Planctomycetia; Pirellulales.
GGAUGGGUGGCCGAGUGGACUAAGGCGGCAGUCUUGAAAACUGCUGUACGGGCAACCGUACCGGGGGUUCGAAUCCCUCCCCAUCCG